Molecule: ribosomal RNA, 468 nt
Filed under: uncultured bacterium
Lineage: Bacteria
Description: partial 16S ribosomal RNA
Rfam family: Bacterial small subunit ribosomal RNA
Source: RNAcentral
GACGAACGCUGGCGGCGGGCUUAACACAUGCAAGUCGAACGGAAAGGCCCUGCUUUUGUGGGGUGCUCGAGUGGCGAACGGGUGAGUAACACGUGAGUAACCUGCCCUUGACUUUGGGAUAACUUCAGGAAACUGGGGCUAAUACCGGAUAGGAGCUCCUGCUGCAUGGUGGGGGUUGGAAAGUUUCGGCGGUUGGGGAUGGACGCGCGGCUUAUCAGCUUGUUGGUGGGGUAGUGGCUUACCAAGGCUUUGACGGGUAGCCGGCCUGAGAGGGUGACCGGCCACCUUGGGCCUGCGGUACGGCCCAGACUCCUACGGGAGGCAGCAGUGGGGAAUAUUGCACAAUGGGCGGAAGCCUGAUGCAGCAACGCCGCGUUCGUGAUGACGGCCUUCGGGUUGUAAACCGCUUUCGCCUGUGACGAAGCGUGAGUGACGGUAAUGGGUAAAGAAGCACCGGCUAACUACGUG